Molecule: ribosomal RNA, 268 nt
Filed under: uncultured bacterium
Lineage: Bacteria
Description: partial 16S ribosomal RNA
Rfam family: Bacterial small subunit ribosomal RNA
Source: RNAcentral
GUCCACGCCCUAAACGAUGUCAACUGGUUGUUGGACGGCUUGCUGUUCAGUAACGAAGCUAACGCGUGAAGUUGACCGCCUGGGGGAGUACGGCCGCAAGGUUGAAACUCAAAAGGAAUUGACGGGGACCCGCACAAGCGGUGGAUGAUGUGGUUUAAUUCGAUGCAACGCGAAAAACCUUACCUACCCUUGACAUGUCAAGAAUUUUGCAGAGAUGUGAAAAGUGCUCGAAAAGAGAACUUGAACACAGGUGCUGCAUGGCCGUCGU